This 1104-nucleotide long non-coding RNA is filed under the name Saimiri boliviensis boliviensis (Bolivian squirrel monkey). Its description in RNAcentral is "lncRNA (ENSSBOG00000036722.1)". Lineage: Eukaryota; Metazoa; Chordata; Mammalia; Primates; Cebidae. The record is from RNAcentral.
UGGAUGGGCACGAGGCCGGCUCCCGGACCUGGCUCAGGCCCCCGGGGAGUUCUCCGUCACCACCCCCGCCAUCGUCUUUGCGGCAAGUGGUCUGGGGACAGCGGUGCCCCCCACAGCGUCCUGGUGAGAAGCACAAGAGAACUGGAGAGAAAUAGAAAAUCAAGAUUCCUCUUCCCUGGAGAACUGAAAACCAGAUGACGUGGAUGAGAACACCCGCAAACCCCCUUUCUCUCCAGUUACCCAGUCCUGGUGCAGGAGACACCCGGCCGCAUCUACACUGCAGACAGCUGGUUCGGGGGCCUCGGAACUGCGGAGCAAGAGGGGCGGCUGUGUGCCUUCUGCUUGGCGUCUGCUGCGGUCUGGAGGACGCAUCCCCAGCUUCAGCUCUGGAGGGCGUUCUGCCAUUUCACCAGGCUUCAGGCCUCCAAAGCGUCCAGCUCCACACCUCCGUCCCCGUCUCCAGUCCAGGAGGCCACGCUUAGUCCCGCUGUCUAUUGGUUCUAUCGGUUGCAGAGACGACAUUGCUCUGGAGAGGCAGCUGUCCUGGGAGGCAGCCGGGACCAUCAGCUCCCCACGCCUCGCUGUCUCCCUCAUUCCUGGUGCUUGGCACUGGCUGGCACCAGUCACUCAGCGGCUUAUAGGUGAACAUUUGCUGAUUUCCUUGUAUCCAAGCAAUUUUACAAAUUCAUUAGACAGAAACGAGAAGCUGCCAUGUAUUUUAGCAGCGGAAUUUAAAAGACCUUGAAGGGAUUGUAUUUCAGGAAAGAAGCGGCCCCUCCCACCAUCUGUCAGAUUUGGAAGGACUUUGUCAGGAUGCUGACCCUGGCCCACGCGCCGGCCUGCGCUGCCCACAACCUGGAAUGUGGCUCUUUCCCACCUCUCUCAGCGUCUCGCUCACCUGUCCACCUGUGCACUCGGGUGAGAAUCAGGACACAGAUGAUUACAGAUCUAUUCAUAAAAUGAAAUUGCAUGAUUUAGCCAGGGCAUCUGCUGUCAGUGCAUCUAACUUCCACGAGGAGCAUCUGGGCACUAGCUCGUACUCGCCGGCAUUGACAGCCCUCAGGAGCUACGGCCCCGAAUGUGAUCUGGCGCUUUCCCUGCUUG